Long non-coding RNA from Sinocyclocheilus anshuiensis, 266 nucleotides. RefSeq lists it as uncharacterized. The record is from RefSeq and is a predicted model, not a curated record. The transcript has 3 exons. Lineage: Eukaryota; Metazoa; Chordata; Actinopteri; Cypriniformes; Cyprinidae.
UUGCAUUGCAAACGCCCCUCUCCAUCAAAACAAGAGCUACUUUGAGUUCAAGAUUCAGUCCACAGGUGUCUGGGGAGUAGGAGUGGCAACACAGAAAGCAAAUCUGAAUCAGAUCCCUAUGGGUAGAGACCCACGCAGCCUUGUGCUCCGGCAAGAUGGCACCGUGUACCACAACAAUGAAGAAAAGAACCGAUUACCUGCAAACAGCUUACCGCAGGAAGGAGACAUUGUGGGUGUUACGUAUGACCAUGUGGAGCUGAAUUUGU